Molecule: ribosomal RNA, 253 nt
Filed under: uncultured bacterium
Lineage: Bacteria
Description: partial 16S ribosomal RNA
Rfam family: Bacterial small subunit ribosomal RNA
Source: RNAcentral
UACAGAGGGGGCAAGCGUUGUUCGGAAUUACUGGGCGUAAAGGGCGCGUAGGCGGCCUGUUAAGUCGAACGUGAAAUCCCCGGGCUCAACCCGGGAACUGCGUCCGAUACUGGCAGGCUUGAAUCCGGGAGAGGGAUGUGGAAUUCCAGGUGUAGCGGUGAAAUGCGUAGAUAUCUGGAGGAACACCGGUGGCGAAGGCGGCAUCCUGGACCGGUAUGGACGCUGAGGCGCGAAAGCCAGGGGAGCAAACGGG